UCACAUCUGUUUCUGAAACCCGACUUUGUUAAUUAACAGUUUUAAAAUAUUAAUUAGUUUUGACAUCUUGUAAAUUUUAGGUCAAAAAUACAGUCCAGAACUUCCUCAAAGUGCUAACCUUAAGUAACAUAACAGUGUUUGCCUGUUUGCUUGCCUGGUAAAUUUUGCUUUUUAUACUGACAGACAUUACUAAUGUUUAAGUUGAUUUAUCAACAGUAUUUUUAAAAACUCAAAUUUGUCUUGUGAAAAAUGAGAUGAUUAGAGGAACAGAAAGAAAGCAACAGGUAAAGAAUUCUUCAAUUUACAUAAAUUACAAAUGAUUUGGUGCUAAAUUUAUGCACUAUGACAUUUGGCUUUUAUGCAAUCAUUUUUUUUUCUUUAAAGAUGUUAACACUACCUGAUAUUAAUCAUAAUGUUCCAUUAUGUUGAUUGCUUGUAAUAGGAAGAAAAGGGGUGUCUUCCUGUGCAACUGACACAGCUAGGCUUUGACGGCAGGCCUCCACAAGUAUUAUGGACUACAAAUUUUGGAAAAUGUGAUAAAAACAAGGUGGAAGAUUCUUCCAAGGAACCAGUGCGAAGGAAUAAAAAAAUACGUUGUUG
RNAcentral lists this small RNA (600 nucleotides) under Pan troglodytes (chimpanzee). RNAcentral's name for it is "processed transcript". The record is from RNAcentral. Lineage: Eukaryota; Metazoa; Chordata; Mammalia; Primates; Hominidae.